This 253-nucleotide ribosomal RNA is filed under the name uncultured bacterium. Its description in RNAcentral is "partial 16S ribosomal RNA". It matches the Rfam family "Bacterial small subunit ribosomal RNA", at positions 524 to 776 of the family's 1533-position model. The record is from RNAcentral.
UACGGGGGGGGCAAGCGUUGUUCGGAAUUACUGGGCGUAAAGGGUUUGUAGGUGGCUUGUUAAGUCAGACGUGAAAUCCCUCAGCUUAACUGGGGAACUGCGUCUGAUACUGGCGAGCUUGAGUGCAGGAGAGGAACGCGGAAUUCCGUGUGUAGCGGUGAAAUGCGUAGAUAUACGGAGGAAUACCUGAGGCGAAGGCGGGUUGCUGGGCCAACACUGACGCUGAGGCGCGAAAGCCAGGGGAGCAAACGGG